Molecule: long non-coding RNA, 7577 nt
Filed under: Cricetulus griseus (Chinese hamster)
Lineage: Eukaryota; Metazoa; Chordata; Mammalia; Rodentia; Cricetidae
Description: lncRNA (ENSCGRG00015042139.1)
Source: RNAcentral
CAAUUAUCUCCUUAGUAAGCUGACUUUGAUUGUUGGGGGUAGAUAGCCAAAAGUGGUAUAGCUGGAUCGUAGUUUUUCUGAUGAACAUCCACAUUGAUUUCCAAAUCGGAUGGACUAUAUUCACCCCAACAGUAUAUGUAUUCUUAACUUCUACAUGGUCCCUGGCUUUAAUGAACAAAGGAAUGAACAAAAGAUCUGAAGUACAACUUCAGUGAACACAAAGUUCAGAAGGCUGUGAAAGGAAGCCAUGGUUCAGACAUUGGCAGGAAAGCCAAUAAGGUUCUAACCUGUGGAGAGACCCCAGAGGUUCCUCCUCUCCUUCAGGAUAACCAGAAGAGAAAGAAGUUGUCUUGAUGUGGGGAAGAAGCAAAGAAAUGAAAACUGGGGCUGGGCAUUUUUCCCUACCCCUCAAUUUGAACAGUGCCUUUUAUUUCAUUUCUGCUUCUUCCCUACUGAUUUGGCCAUCAGGGGCAAGAACUUUGAAGAGUUCUAUUUCUUCUCUAAUGACCUCAUACCUCUGCCCCUUCCAUGCCACUGCACUACAAGAAAACUGUUGAGUCACCUCCUAUGUAAGUGACAGGUAAUAUUGACAACUAGCACUAGGAUGAACACUUUACAGAACUGACACUUAAACUGUUAAUCAAAGGAUCUCCGAUAUGACAGGUGAAGAAACAAAACUUAGACAACCAAGCAGAGGCCUCUGGACUGGUCUACUGGAGUUCUGCUUCUAUACUCUAUUGUCCUGACCUUCCUGACUCAUUUGUUCCAUCGUCACUAAAAUACAUACACAUCCAUCAAGAAAAAAAAUAAGCAGCAUUUGGAUUGGUAGUCUGAAGGAGUAGGGUAUUUUUCUAGUAAAUGAGGGAGGAAGAAGUCAGCAUGAGGGUUAUUGGGUAUGUUGAGCAGAGGGGUUAAGUGUGUCCCUAGAACGUGGCACCACUUGUCAUGGUGCACAGUGAACUAUGCAGUGUCUUUAUGAAAAGAAAGCAAUUCCCAGAUUCAUCCCACAGUUCCUAUUAUGGUAAGUCAUUUUGUUGUUGUUUUUAACUUUCUUAUUUCUCUGGGUUCUGGUUAUUCCGUUUUAAACACAUCUUUAUUGCUUCAAGUAGGACUAAGCCUUACACAAUGAUAAAAGUAACUGAAAAACUUAUUCCACUUGAAAAAAAAAGGAAAAACACUUUUGUGACUCACCCAAUAUAAACCACAACCCAAUAAAGCCACGAUUAAAGUGGAUGUCUACUAAAUCUCUCAAUGAAUGGGGUUUCACUUUCUGUUUUCACGAGUCAUCCAAGUCCUUUGAUGUAUGUUGGGCCCUCUUGCUCAAGGCUGUCUGUUCUUUCAUCACUCUUUCCUUCCAUGAAUCUCAUGCCUGCGAUUGCUCAGCACAAUCCUGGCUAACAAGACAUGGAGGGAAGGCUUCCUGGAACACGUGGAGCAAAGUCAGGAAGAUGACCCAAGUGAAGGAAGGACAACAGAGCUGACCUUGGAGGACAUGGGCCAGGAGAUCUAAGAUGAGAUUCCCAGGACUGCUACCUAGGUCCAACUUAGACUCUGAGAACCAAGGAAAAUGAACCUCACCCAAGUUCCUAGGUGGCAACUGAGGACCAGCCCACUGGGAGGCCAGCUGGGGUCCCAAGCCUGGUUAUUCAAAGUAUGGGCUCUAGAACAACAGCCCUGGCAUCAUCUGGAGUGUUUAGGAUGUAGAAGCUCAACUCCCAGUCCCCACUUAACACAUUAGACCUCUGGGUGCUUUUGGCGAGCAUAAAAUCUUGAGAAGUACAUCUCAGAGAACCCGAGGCAAGGUCAAGGAUCAGUCAGGGUUGGUUGAGGGACUGAACCUCAGUAGGGUUGGGAGUGAGAGCAGGUCAGAAGGGAGAGAAAUACUUGAAGCUGUCUCCACGAGCUGUGGGUAUAUGGUUAUGUGGUAUGCAGGUAUAUCUAGACUCUAAAAGGGGUUUGAAUUCUCCAGUCAGCCUUCUCUGAGACUGUAAAAGACAGGGGCCCAUCUUCCUCCUUCAUCUGUUCCAGACCUACCCAGACAUCUCAGAGCUCCAAGAUAUGUACUCAUUCUUUGUUGAACUGAAUGGGGUCCCCCAGAAAUCCCACUAGUCAUAUAUCCUGAGUUUAUGAUCAUAGAGAGUCACCUUUGAUUCUGCAUCUCCCCCAGGAAUCUCUUGGUGUAAUAAGUAUGCUUGGGUGUUUUCUGUAGCACAAAUCAAAGCAAAACAAAAUACCCUGCUGGGUCACAGCAGAUCCAGCACCACAUCCCCCGAGAGUUCAGGCGGUGUCCAAAGAACUCAUCAUGAGAGCUGACCUGCUAAUGUGUGAUUUCUGCAAAAGGGCCAACGAACCUGCUGGCUCCCAUGACGGCUGUCUGGAAAGUCAGUGCCCAGGCGCCAAAUCCAGAGGUGCGCUUUGUACUUGGAGAGACAGAAUGGCCAGCCACCUCGAGGCUUCAGGAGCUGGAUCAGUGCACAGCAGCCUCCAACUGGCAAGAGUUAAUGCUAAGGUGCAGCUGCAGGAAUGUGAAGCUGGAGAGCUAGCUCGGGGAAUUGCUAUUGCAAUCAGAGGACAGCCCAAGUCAGAGUUCCAAAACCCUUUGAAGGGCUGCCAGCUCGGACACAUGUCUCCAAUUAUCAUAUGCAAUCUUGAGGCAGUGUGCAAGCUGCACUUUCAUUAUGUCAAAGUGAAAGGAGUGGUGAGGGAGAGAUAAAGUGGGGAGAGGCCGCCAGGCCGGAGACUGCUUCGCUGUGGCACCAAAUGUCAGCCCGGGUGCAGAGUGAGCCUCCAACGUAUGUCUGUCCGGGAGCCCGAGGUGUGUGGCUCCUACUCUGAGAGCCUUUGUUUUCUUUCUUUCAUUCUGAGGAUGGAGGAGAACCAGCUGACAGCCACAGGAGGCCCUGUCUCUAGGAAACUUGACCAUCUCUUUGGUAUUGGAUCUGACCACAGAUAAGAUUCUGUGGAAACUUCCCAGGGACAUCCACUGUGUCCAGCCACAGGCUUUCAGGUUAUUUCUUAAAAUUUUUCAAGGUCUGUAUUUCCAUGGGGAGCCGGUUCCUUUGCCUGGUGUAACUAAGAAGGAGGCAUAAGAAUAGAUAGCUCCUUCUUGCCUAUCCAGGGUUGGCUGUUUCUAGGCUGGGUUUUGCUUUUUUUUUUUUCAUUCUGAACCAAGUCCUAGCCCAGGAGACCAUUGCCCUCAACUUCAUUUUCCAAACACAGACCAAUAGAUUUUCCUCAGAGACAUCUCCCAGGCUUAUCUCUUCCACACCAUUGCCUCUUAGGACUGAGCUCAUCAUUUGGAAUGGAUAUUUGACUGAUCCAUGUGUUACUCUGUGUUUUUAAGUAAGUUUGCAGAGGUAUGGGAGGGUAGAACAUAUACUUUCUGGCUUCUUCUUAGCUCUCAAGAGUUAUUUAUACAUGCAUGCAGACUCACAUAUUUACACAUACAGUUUUAUGUAUGAAUAUGUCUUUACAUAUUGUAUUUACAUAUGUACAUGUAUUAUCUGUGUUAUAUGCAAAAUUGCUGCUGUACUAAGGACUUUAUAAGAUAGCAACAGAAUUUCCAUUACCACCCUUGUUUUGCAUUAAGAGAAGUGACAUUUAGAGCGAUAAGGAGCUUGCCAGCACCAUUCAACCAAGCUAGUGGUGAGGCCAGGCUUGGGCUGUGACACUCUGGUCACAAUCCUCAUAACAUCUCCGUCUGAAAUCCAUUCAGUUGUCUCCCAUGCUGUGUACCCAGGAAAUGUCACUUGGAGUAGUAUUCCAUUUAUUGAUGACAUAGGGGGUGUGCAGGGAGAGGAGACAUGCUAGGACUGGUGGCUGUGAAGAAAAAGGCAAGAACUAAGUUAUGCCUUACCUGCCCUGAGAUCCUGCUUAAGCAGACACUUGCCUGCUGUCUGGAAGAUUGGGCCGUGAUGUGGAAGAGACAUAGCUGGAAUGCACCCCUCACCAGGAAGCAGGCCUGGGUUAGAGGAAUCUCCUCAGUUCAUUGCUGUGGUUAAUUCUGGCCAACUUUGGCCCCUGGGCCCCCUGAGCCUCCUCCGCAAACCCAGAAGAACUCUGGAGAGGUCAGAGCAUUUUUAUUCACCAAUCCAAGUGAAAUGCAGCAAAACACACUCCACAUGCUUGACACGUGGAAAUUCUCAGAGCCAGCGGUUGAUAAAUGUGCCAAACUUGAGGAGUAAACAUCCCAGAGAAGGCAGAGCUGCAUGCAAGCCUUCCUGGCUUCAUCAGGUGGUUAUAUUAGCUUCAGAGCCUGGAGGCUAGCUCAUAACUAAUCCGUACAAGGUGUUGAGCCCUGUGCCUGGUAGACAGUGAGUAAGGUCUCAGUAGGUGCUAAUAGGCACAUUAGUACACUCGCUAUUACUAGUCGGAAGGAACCGAUCGGAUAGUUAUAACAACACUAGUAGCCAAUGAGCUUACUCGCCUCAUGGAAAACCAUCCCACCACAUUCUAAGGGCCUUCUAGUGUGCAAUUGACUCUAGUUUUCAAAACUAGAAUUUUGUUACAUAUUUCUUAAAUGCUAGGUACAUACAUACACAUAUAUACAUGUACACAUAUAUGUACACACACACACAUAUAAUCUUAGUUAUUGCUAGACUUUCUGAGAACUUAACUCCUAGAUGGUUGUUAAGAACUGUGUGGAAAGGCUGACAAGACGGCUCAGCUUGCAAGCUUGGCAACCUGAGUUUGAUUCCUGUGAGAACCCCUCCAUGAGGUUGUCUUCUGCCCUCCAUACAUGUUACAUGGCAUGUAUGCUAAAAUACACGCCCCCCCCCACACACUCAGUACAUUUGACAAAAGAACCUUGCUUAAGAUAACCCAGUCCAAGCUCUCCAUGUGAUGUCCAAGUCUGUUUCUUCAUCACUACUCUGGAACUUCUGGAACCUACAUGAUCCCCAUGAACCCAGGUUCAGGCAGGAUCUGCCCAGGGCACUGCCAUUCUGCUCCUCCCCUUCUGGGCACAGCUGUACACAUCUGUAUUCCAUGAUGCCCACUGAGAAGAGGGCUUCUCUAUCCCGUCUGUAAUGCACCAGUAAACAAACAUCCAGUGAGCCCUAGCAUGGCUGUUCCUUUCUUAAGUCAGCACAGGGUUGCUCAUAGCUGUGGCUUCUGACCCUUGCCCAGGACUUAACCGGUUUCAUGGCUUUACUUCAUGCUCACAAUCCUGCGAUUAUUUUCACAGCCGCCCAGUGUAAAAGGAGCUGUGCUUUGCCAGCAUUUGCAGAGAGGACUGAGAGAGCCAGCCUCAGGACUCAGCUCUGCUGUCAGCAUCCCCGAACUUGUCCCAUUACAGAGGGCUGCUUCCUCUCCACCAUGGGCAGCUGAUGACUUUGGCUCUGUGUGGCCCAGUGCCUGCAACUGUUCUGUUCCUGCCUUUAGUAGGAAGACCAUGAGGUCAACACUGAGGACAGGUCUCUGUGUUCCAGAUAACCUGGGCUUCCCCUUGGUUCUUCUUUUCUUGUUUAUUUUUUUCUCACCAGCAUAUAGGCCAGGCAUCCCAGAUGUGGCAGGACCUGCCCUCUAUCCUCAACUCCAGGUCUGAGGCAGGUGUCCCCCACAGGGCUUAAAAUUUUGGGCACACGCCUGUGGUCCACAGGAACUGGCCUAGCCAUUUGGUGGUGCUGAAGACCCGUGACUAUCUCUGCCUUCUGUUAGGAGUGGGAGAAGCUCAUGGUCUGACUAGCGGUGGGGAAGUCCAAGGGACAAACGGGGGCUCUAACCAUAAUCAGAACACCAGUGCUGUCGGUCUGCUCCUGGAACCAGGAGAGGUGGCAAAAAAAAAAAGGAUCUUGGAGAGAGAGGGUGGACUGGGCGAGCAGAGGAGACAGUGGGUUAGUGCUAGUUUUCUGUGACAGGUUGGAGGAUGUCUUCAGAUGAAAGAAGGUGCCAAAGAGAAGAGGGAAACCAAGGUAGAAAAAUCUUAGGAAGAAACGGAUGAAAAAGCAUGGAAUGGGCUUCUCUAUGAACACAAUGGAAUAUUUGGAGCUGCCUUUUCCUUAUGCUCAAGGGGUUGGGACCCUGGCCGUGCAGUGACCUCUCGGGGAAGCCAAGAUAGACUGCUAGCUGGAACUUCCCCCCACACAGGGGAAGAGUUCAAGCUGUGGAAAGGCCCUGGCCUGAGGUGGGUUUGGACUGCUUACACUCUGACCAGCCAAACUGAUAGCUCCUUGUGCUGUGUGAAAACACUGGCUUCCACAUUGUGACUGCAGUGUUCACCGAGAGCACAGUUUGCCUUUGGGGGAGCAAUGGUGCUGUGGUGGCAGGGAGGCUGUUUCUACCAGUAACUGUAGAACUUCUUUCCUGGAAAUUGGGUGCCCUCAAUGGGUCUCCAUUAGAGAUUCAGGUGACACGUUAGCCCUGUUAGCAGGCCAGGGAGCCAACGGCGUUUUUCAGAUAUCCCAAAGAGUCUGACAGUACUGGGGCAUGGCUCUCUACAAGUGGCUUUACUGGUGUAGCCACUCAGAGGCACAGCUGCUCUGCCUAAAAGCUUCCAGAAUGUCUCCCUCGCCAGCACUGUCUUCACAUCCAGGACUUAGCAGCUCUGUGUGCCCCUAGGAGAAAGACCUUUAGAACCUAUCUCUUCACAAGAGGGGCCUGGGACUUCUGAGGCCAUGGAAUAGGAACCCUGCAAAACCCACAGACACCGGCUAGUGGGAGGACUCCCUUUAUCUGACAAAGCAUCUCAGCACGGAAUGUUCUGGUUAGUGUUUCUUGAACUUAAAUCUUUAUUCCAAUUGCAGUAGCUGUGAUAGGAAAGACCAGCCUAUUUCAUCACACUCUUACCCUAAUCAAAUGUUCUCAUUCCAAAGCUCUCCUUGAAUGAGGGUGGGGGUGGGGCAGGACAGUGAUGGUUGCAGAGGAAAUGCAUGCAACAUGUUCGUUUUUUAGCCAAAGGACACUUGGAAUUAAUUUUUAAAAGCCAGAGUAGGCGUUAUCAUCUUUGGAGGAGAGGUAUGGCCAAAAAUUUCUCUGUGUGAUGUUUUCUAGGGACAAAAUUGAGGCUUGAGGGAAGCAACCACAACAACAAAAAAAACAAGAUGAAGGGGAUGGUGACUACAUCCUGCUCUGUGGAGGAUUCUGCAGUCUCUCUGUUACCUUUGCUGCUCUUAAGACAGUGGUCAUGAGUACAUUCUGUCUGUUUCCUUUCCUAUUUAGAGGAAAGGAAAGCAGCUGUGCCCACCUGACUUGGCCCCUCUCCCCUCCAUCUUCCUGGGCUUAUUUGUGUUAGUCUUACUAUGUUUGUCUUUAUCUGUUCUAUAGCAACCCUCGUCUCUACAGGUCUUAAUGGUCCCAGCUAGUUCUGGUCACUUGUGGAAAACGUCUCAGGAAGAAUAAAAAGUUUUCAAAAGUUCACUUCUGACUGGUUACUGACUUUCUAGUUGGAAGCAGAUGCUGGGGUACUAGGCCACUGACAGUUGCUGCUAGAGCUGUUUGUGGGUGGCAAGAAGUUUGGAAGCCUUACUGUUUUCUUGGGGUAGGGAUGCCUUUCUACAGGAAGCCACAGGGGAAUAAUGGAGAGGCAGCCAUCAUUGUUAAGGUAAUCUUAACAUGAAAUCAGAUAUGCCAUGACAGGC